This 371-nucleotide long non-coding RNA is filed under the name Elaeis guineensis (African oil palm). RNAcentral's name for it is "long non-coding RNA (EGUI_LNC048983)". Lineage: Eukaryota; Viridiplantae; Streptophyta; Magnoliopsida; Arecales; Arecaceae. The record is from RNAcentral.
GGUUGGUCAGAUAUGAGAUGAUGUGUUGAUCUAAACUAGAUUAGUCAUCUACGUAGUUGUAUGUGACUAUUAGAAGAGAUCUGAACCUAAAUCUUCUCACUAAAUAUUAAGUCUAUUGGAAUUUCACCAUUGUAGAGAUGCGAGUGCCUUUUCAAUAUUGAUCGUUCUUGACUGGUUGUAGUGGUUUGGUUGCAUCGAAAAGGUAUAACCAUUCUAUUGACAUUAGAUGCCCCAGGAUAAAGAUGGGAUUGAGCCCAAUAACUGUUAGGUGAGGGACCUAAUAAUGACUUUGUACUCGCUGGUGAAUGAUGGGUCAGACUAAACUAAAAAAUGUGCCAAUAACUAUUAGGUGAAGCCACAGAACUUAGAGA